This 231-nucleotide ribosomal RNA is filed under the name Escherichia coli. RNAcentral describes it as "partial 23S ribosomal RNA". It matches the Rfam family "Bacterial large subunit ribosomal RNA", at positions 2114 to 2344 of the family's 2925-position model. Lineage: Bacteria; Pseudomonadati; Pseudomonadota; Gammaproteobacteria; Enterobacterales; Enterobacteriaceae. The record is from RNAcentral.
ACACUGAACAUUGAGCCUUGAUGUGUAGGAUAGGUGGGAGGCUUUGAAGUGUGGACGCCAGUCUGCAUGGAGCCGACCUUGAAAUACCACCCUUUAAUGUUUGAUGUUCUAACGUGGACCCGUAAUCCGGGUUGCGGACAGUGUCUGGUGGGUAGUUUGACUGGGGCGGUCUCCUCCUAAAGAGUAACGGAGGAGCACGAAGGUUGGCUAAUCCUGGUCGGACAUCAGGAG